AAAUUGAAGAGUUUGAUCAUGGCUCAGAUUGAACGCUGGCGGCAGGCCUAACACAUGCAAGUCGAACGGUAACAGAAAGCAGCUUGCUGCUUUGCUGACGAGUGGCGGACGGGUGAGUAAUGUCUGGGAAACUGCCUGAUGGAGGGGGAUAACUACUGGAAACGGUGGCUAAUACCGCAUAACGUCGCAAGACCAAAGAGGGGGACCUUCGGGCCUCUUGCCAUCAGAUGUGCCCAGAUGGGAUUAGCUAGUUGGUGAGGUAACGGCUCACCAAGGCGACGAUCCCUAGCUGGUCUGAGAGGAUGACCAGCCACACUGGAACUGAGACACGGUCCAGACUCCUACGGGAGGCAGCAGUGGGGAAUAUUGCACAAUGGGCGCAAGCCUGAUGCAGCCAUGCCGCGUGUAUGAAGAAGGCCUUCGGGUUGUAAAGUACUUU
Molecule: ribosomal RNA, 439 nt
Filed under: Salmonella enterica
Lineage: Bacteria; Pseudomonadati; Pseudomonadota; Gammaproteobacteria; Enterobacterales; Enterobacteriaceae
Description: bacterial SSU rRNA
Rfam family: Bacterial small subunit ribosomal RNA
Source: RNAcentral